Long non-coding RNA from Pezoporus flaviventris, 4119 nucleotides. RefSeq lists it as uncharacterized. The record is from RefSeq and is a predicted model, not a curated record. The transcript is spliced from 2 exons. NCBI's taxonomy places the organism in Eukaryota, Metazoa, Chordata, Aves, Psittaciformes, Psittacidae.
ACAUUAUCUGACCCUGCACCAUUUAAUCCUGUAGAAGUUCCACUGAUGUUAGCAGCAUGAGAGCAGGCUCUGGCUGAGUUAUCUGAAAGUAAACUCCUCACAGGGAUUGCUCUUGCUGUGAUCUUGCACACCAGCAGCACAGGCAGGUUGCAUUUCACUUUUUUGCUUCUCAGUUAAUGCCCAGGGAAGGCUUCUUUCUUUCCCAAGUAGGGACUGAUUUUUGUCUAGUUCAAGGAAGCUUGCCAAAGCUCACCAUGGAUUGUCAGCUUAAAAUAUAUUUUGGUUUGAAAAAGACCCUCCACCACACCUAUGCUGGCCAUGAUUCUCCUUGCAGGCAGUGCUCCCUUUCCCACUCUCAGUCAGGACAGGCAUGAGUCCGGAGGUGGAGAGCUCUCCAAGAGGGAUACAUCAGCUCAGCGUGUUUCACUUAGGGGAAAAUGGGACCGGAGCUCCCCCCAUAUAAUAGAGAUAUCAAGUUAUAUUAGACAAAGGGAAUGUGAAUUAUCAUGUGAAUUAUUGUGCAGCAGGACAUAAACCAAACACCAACUUCCUAGAGUUAGAAAAAGCUUACUCAGGAGGAAACUUUCCUUAACUUUGAAAGCUGAGUCCCAAUUCAGGAAACGAAGCAAGUCACAUCAUCCUUCAAUCUCACCAUGUGAUGGUAAAAAACGUAUACCUCUCUAUUAAUACAUGUUCCAGGCUGCACAUAACUAUUUGGCAUUUCAUAUAUGAAAAAAUUACAAUUCAGAAGUGGACUGUGCCUUUAAAAAAAAAAUCUUUAUUUUGUUAUUUUCCUUCUUAUACUUUUCUUCCAAAUUUUAAGAUAAUCCCACACAGGAAAAUAAAAAAGAAAGUAAAAAUACAUACGGGAUUAGGAAAGAAAAUUAAAAGCAAUGUUUUGGACUAGAUCAGCUAGUUCAUUGCUGAAAUGUGCUUCCCACUAUGUUAUUCAGAUCAAAUUGUUUAUUCGGUAGAAGAAGCUUUGAAGGCUUUAUGUCCCUGCACCUUUUCUCUCCUGAAUGAUUUUAUUACAGCCAUCUGCAAACAUUAUGGCUUACUACACUAGUACCGUAAAGCUCUCAUGUUAGAACUGGCCUUCAUAUAUACUGGGAUCUGGACAUAUGGUUGAAUCCCAUAAAGUUGGUAGUCCAUAAGGUCGACAGACAUAUGGUUGAAAGGCUCAAAAUUUGACAAGCUGAAAUCUGUGCAAUCACCUUGAUUUGCAAAAUAAACUGCAUUUGUAAAAGCAAAAAUAUGUUCUGGUCUUUAAGUAGCAGGGGAACCUACUGCCUAGAAAAAUACCAUACAGCUGCAGUGUAGGGACUUUUCUUCUUUGCUCUGUCCCUUUCAGUUUCUCAACUUUACAUCCAUCAAUUUUAUUGGACUCAGCCUUAUGAUCCAGAACGUGUAUACGGUGUCAUAUUUAAUACGCUAGAACUACAGCACAUCAUCAAGCUUGAGUGUGGCAUUUAGAGACAGGAAGGAUGGUCUUGUGGCAAAGGCACAGGCGCUGAGGCUGAGAGAACUGCACUUUUUCCUGCCUUGCCACAGACUUCCUUUGUGAAUUCCACCAAAUUGCUUCACCUUCUUUCACCUUUGCCCAUCUUUGAAAUAGAGGGAAAUGAUACCAGCCCACCUCUCUGGGUUGCUGUAAAUCUUAAUUCAUGCAGGCUGAAAUCCUGUGAUGGAACUUGCUGUAUAAAUUGUGAAGUAUUAUUAAUGACAUGCUUGCUUUUAUCCUCCACACAUCGCGCUAAAGUUAGAUAGAGGUGGUUGGAGCUGUGAAGACCUUGGCUGGGCUAGCUCCAUCACAGAUCCACAGCCUUCAGGAGGCAAAAUGCACUGGGACUUCAGCUAGUAGCUUAGCGUGCAUCUUAAGUGAAUUUCAAAUUAAUUUGAUAGUUUUGGAAAAAAGCUUGCAAUUGCAUCUAUAAUAUAGGUAUGAAAUUGCAGUCUGUUCAGUGGAAGGAACCAAAUUGGAAGUAUCAGCCUCUUCUGCAUUUGGGAUCAUUCUAAGUGUAGGCCCAGAUUUUUCAGUCAACUUUUUUAAACCUAAAAAAGAGAAAAAGCUUAUUUUCUGAGUGUGUUGCUGUUUUCUGACCAGCUGAUCAUGAUCUGUUGUUACUUCAUUAAAAACAUAUUUUUAGGAGGAACACUUCCUGUCUUUCCUGGAGAAGCACAAGUGCUGGAUGUUUUUUAUACUGAUGUCUUUCUUCCUGAGUGAAAAAAAAAAAAACUAUGUGCUUUUUUGGUUUUUGCUUUUUUUGAUAUUUGAACAAUUAGAUUUUUAUUUGUCACCACUCUUCAUGGUUCACAAACCCAUUGCAAACAAUACUAGAAUGAGGGUUGAGAGAUUCAGACAGAGGCCAUGCACUUGCUUUGCAGCCCCUAAAUAUUUACCCCAGAGAAAUCAUCUGGAGCAAAAAAUAACAUUGACAGAUGAGAUGCCGUAAUCAUGUGUUACACCAACUGCUGUAAAGGAGAAAACAGGAAUGUCACUGAAGUAUUGCAGUGAAGCUGUUUCCCUUCCAGGGCAAGAAGAAUGGGAUUUGGCCAGUUCUUUGUGUCAACCCAAGAACUUCUAGUAGGACCAUGUGGACGCAGAUCAGGGAGCUCUGCCAUUACCUCUGUACUCCAUACCUGCCACAGCUUGAGUACAGUAGGAAAAGGGGCCCAGAUUUCACAAUCCAUAAUUUUUAAUUUAUGCAGCAUUACCAGUAUUCUGAAAUAGCUUCUAGCUUCAUGUGGAGAAGGAAAAUUCAUUGUGUUACUGCAAUGAGCAAAAUGCAUUGCUUCUGGCAUCUGAAUCUGAAAUUUAGUGUAAAGGCCACUGCUUGUUGCAGGACCAAAUUCUGCCAAGUUAAUUUUGGGAUAACAUUUAAUUUUAAGAGAAGUUAUAUUGUCCCUCUGAGAAUUUGAGCUUCACAAGAUUCUAUUUCUUUAAAACCAGCAAAUGCAGCACUGUAACUAGGGUGCAGAGCAUGGCAGGUAGCACAGGAAUUCAGUGCUCACAUUAUUUUCCUGGGAAGUCUUAUGAACUCAUCCUAACUUUGGACAGGUUAAAAUUAGUUGAGUGGAUACUGCAUGUGUCUAAUUUCAGAUCUAUCCACGCUGCUUAGCAGAAGGCUCAAGAAACUUUCCAUAUUAAAGAUGAAGAUGGUUCCCUUCAUGGUAAAGCAUUGGUACCAUCUGAUGAGCAAAAAAAAAUAUUUGUGUUGCAGAUAAGGAGGGCAAACAGUAGUGGGUAAGUGAGCAAGAAAGCAAACAAAAUGGAGCAUCUGGAAAUAAGAGAAAUAUCCUAGCUCCUGGGUAGCAAUUCAACCCCCCUUGGUCAUCAGUGCUGUGUUGGGCUGCUUCAGGAGUAAGGUGAAUUUGUUCUGCUGUCGUCAACACCCAUGUCUGCUACACACCAGCUUUAUUGUAGCUUCCCAAGGAAACUUGCAGUGUGCUUGCUCUGCAACAAAACCUGGAAACAGUUUUUCAGAAUCCUACCUAGAAAUUUUAAAUCCUUUCAUUGUUGUUCUAUAUUACAUCAUAUUCUAUUUUAUUACUUGUGUGGGCUGUCGAGGGCCUCAUAACUGUGCUAGUGCUUUCAUCCUUUCCUUUUCCACUGUAUAUUUUAUUAAGACCUCUUUUAUAUUUUUGUAGCUUUCAUGCUGAUGCAGGCACUAGUUUUAUUUCCAGAUUGAUUCUGUAAACUAAAUAUUGUUCUUGAGCCUGGUAGCAAAUCAGCUCUCUCUGGCUAGUAUUUUGAAUUCCCAGCUCAGGAGUUUUCUUUAUUUAGAGCUUGAUUCAUAAAAAAUUUACAUGCUAUUUAAAGAUUAUUUUUUCUUGCUUUACUCUGAUGCAAGUUUAGAAUUCCCUCUUUUACACUCAAAUAAAGAAAAAAAAAGGAUAUAUUCUAUGCUUGUGAAAUCUGUUCUGUAGAAAGGUCUUCUAUUGAAAAUGGAACAGGUGCAGCUUGGGCAAUUAUAUAUAAAUUGCAUUUAUCUGGCACCUUUGACCGCUUCGCUGUGCUCUGGCUGCUAAUCCAUCUCCACUGGGACUACAACUAACAUCCAAACCCCCAAGCAACUUCAAAAGAACUGCCUUCAAAAAAUAAAAACAAACUGUCACAGA